UUUUUGCCCGUGUUUCUUUCUCUCUCUCUCUCCGACGGCAAAAAAACGAAGAGAAAAUGCUUUCAAAUCUUCGUCUCCGCCGUUAAUUGUUACAGCCGGUGAAUCGGAGGAUGGCAUCUUCAUCAUCUCAACCGACGGCGGCUCUCCACGGCGCCUCUGGUUCAUCUAAUCGGCGAAGGAAGGUUUUUAAAUCGGAGAGUCAUUUAUGAAGUUCUCCGAGUUUUAUUUCAAGAAAUCUGACAAAAUCCGUGCUUUCGGGUGAAAUAUGUGAACACAUUAUUUAUGCACCGGCAACACACACAAGCUUUGCUUCUUUGCCAGACAUGUAUGAAAGAACUUUGACAAUAAACGGUUUCUCAAAGAUAAAGUUUUUAUUAUUGAGUUGGCUUCUAAUGUCGACCGAUCGAAUUCUUUGCUGAUUGUAUAUCAUGUAAAAGGCUUUCGCAAUGACGGGUUGGAGGCUUGGUUAUCUUGCUGGUCCUAAACAUAUUGUGGCAGCUUGCAGUAAAUUACAAGGCUAGGUUACUUCAGGAGCUAGUAGCAUUGCUCAGAAAGCGCAGGUGUUGCUGCACUUGGGUUAGGCAAAGCUGGAGGAGAUACAAUUGCAGAGAUGGUUAAAGCAUAUAGGGAAAGACGAGAUUUCUUGGUUAAAACUUCUAUAUGUUGUAACUUCUAUAUCAGCUUUGUCUCCAUUCCAAUAAAAAGCUCUCUCUUUA
Molecule: long non-coding RNA, 716 nt
Organism: Arabidopsis lyrata subsp. lyrata
Lineage: Eukaryota; Viridiplantae; Streptophyta; Magnoliopsida; Brassicales; Brassicaceae
Exons: 3
Source: RefSeq, a predicted model, not a curated record